GUGGGGAAUAUUGGACAAUGGGCGAAAGCCUGAUCCAGCCAUGCCGCGUGUGUGAAGAAGGUCUUCGGAUUGUAAAGCACUUUAAGUUGGGAGGAAGGGCAGUAAGUUAAUACCUUGCUGUUUUGACGUUACCGACAGAAUAAGCACCGGCUAACUUCGUGCCAGCAGCCGCGGUAAUACGAAGGGUGCACGCGUUAAUCGGAAUUACUGGGCGUAAAGCGCGCGUAGGUGGUUUUGUAAGUUGGAGGUGAAAUCCCCGGGCUCAACCUGGGAACUGCCUCCAAAACUGCAUGACUAGAGUACGGUAGAGGGUAGUGGAAUUUCCUGUGUAGCGGUGAAAUGCGUAGAUAUAGGAAGGAACACCAGUGGCGAAGGCGACUACCUGGACUGAUACUGACACUGAGGUGCGAAAGCGUGGGGAGCAAACAGGAUUAGAUACCCUUGUAGUCC
Molecule: ribosomal RNA, 450 nt
Filed under: uncultured bacterium
Lineage: Bacteria
Description: partial 16S ribosomal RNA
Rfam family: Bacterial small subunit ribosomal RNA
Source: RNAcentral